Molecule: unclassified non-coding RNA, 340 nt
Filed under: Hevea brasiliensis (rubber tree)
Lineage: Eukaryota; Viridiplantae; Streptophyta; Magnoliopsida; Malpighiales; Euphorbiaceae
Source: RNAcentral
UUUUCCUCACUUUUCCCUAGGCUGCUUAAGCAUUUUUUAUAAUAAUUAUAUAUUUUUUUCUAGGUCAUCAGCAGUACAAUCACUGGUAAUGCAUAUUAUACACUUGUGAUUCUCCCCAAAUACUUUCAGAAUGUUUCCUGCUUUCCACCAAUUUCAAAAUCCCAAAGAAAUCAAUUAACUGCAAGUGCAAGUCCUCCCACUUCACAGAUAGAUGACUCAUAACUCAAUUAAAAUCAUGCAAUUGAAGAACAAGGAGAUCAGCACUACAAAAUCAAGUUUACUGUGUUCUCUUUAAUUGUGACUGCAUAAAAACACAAGUGUCCGUUUGGUUUGCAUUAAG